RNAcentral lists this ribosomal RNA (468 nucleotides) under uncultured bacterium. RNAcentral's name for it is "bacterial SSU rRNA". It matches the Rfam family "Bacterial small subunit ribosomal RNA", at positions 328 to 793 of the family's 1533-position model. The record is from RNAcentral.
GGGCCAGACUCCUACGGGAGGCAGCAGUGAGGAAUAUUGGUCAAUGGCCGCAGGGCUGAACCAGCCAAGUCGCGUGAGGGACUAAGGCCCUGCGGGUCGUAAACCUCUUUUGCCGGGGAGCAGUGGUCCGGACGCGUCCGGACCGGGAGAGUACCCGGAGAAAAAGCAUCGGCUAACUCCGUGCCAGCAGCCGCGGUAAUACGGAGGAUGCGAGCGUUAUCCGGAUUUAUUGGGUUUAAAGGGUGCGUAGGCGGAAUGCCAAGUCAGCGGUAAAAUCGCGGGGCUCAACCUCGCUCCGCCGUUGAAACUGGCGUUCUUGAGUGGGCGAGAAGUAUGCGGAAUGCGUGGUGUAGCGGUGAAAUGCUUAGAUAUUGCGCAGAACUCCGAUUGCGAAGGCAGCAUACCGGCGGCGAUCUGACGCUGAGGCACGAAAGCGUGGGUAUCGAACAGGAUUAGAUACCCCAGUAG